AUGACAUGGAGAAGUUAAGCACUAUGCUAACAUGACAUGGAGAAGUUAAGCACUAUGCUAACAUGACAUGGAGAAGUUAAGCACUAUGCUAACAUGACAUGGAGAAGUUAAGCACUAUGCUAACAUGACAUGGAGAAGUUAAGCACUAUGCUAACAUGACAUGGAGAAGUUAAGCACUAUGCUAACAUGACAUGGAGAAGUUAAGCACUAUGCUAACAUGACAUGGAGAAGUUAAGCACUAUGCUAACAUGACAUGGAGAAGUUAAGCACUAUGCUAACAUGACAUGGAGAAGUUAAGCACUAUGCUAACAUGACAUGGAGAAGUUAAGCACUAUGCUAACAUGACAUGGAGAAGUUAAGCACUAUGCUAACAUGACAUGGAGAAGGUAAGCACUAUGCUAACAUGACAUGGAGAAGUUAAGCACUAUGCUAACAUGACAUGGAGAAGGUAAGCCACUCCUGUAUCUCUAUAAUCAAUCGAGUUGAUGCAAUUAUCCAGAUAGUUACAUAUCAGUUAAUCCUCUUGUUUUCGAUGGAUGGAUCCACUUUCAACAUAGCAAGACAAAGAACCUCUGAAAAAAAAACGUUUUUAUUCAACAAUUGAAAGACAUUUGAGCGUUGAGGAGUAGUGACCUACAUGUAGUUGUACAUGACUCUGCAGUAGCUUUGUGAUAGUUGAACUAAAUUUAAACCUUGGUCAUUUUUUGUCAGUAGUUAGUUACUUUUUGUUGCCAUGCAGCUGUGUAGCUAACUACUGGAACUACACACUACUUUUUUUUGCAAAAAUAAAAUAUGGGUGAAUUAGGCAA
This is a long non-coding RNA of Oncorhynchus gorbuscha (pink salmon), 809 nucleotides long. RefSeq lists it as uncharacterized. The record is from RefSeq and is a predicted model, not a curated record. The transcript is spliced from 2 exons. Lineage: Eukaryota; Metazoa; Chordata; Actinopteri; Salmoniformes; Salmonidae.